Myotis brandtii (Brandt's bat) is the source of this 75-nucleotide non-coding RNA. Lineage: Eukaryota; Metazoa; Chordata; Mammalia; Chiroptera; Vespertilionidae. The record is from Rfam.
GGCCGUUCUUGGGUGAUGCACCCUGGAAUAAGGCUCCCUCUUCUCUGAGUCUGGGUGCAUCACCUGAGAACCACA